Molecule: transfer RNA, 82 nt
Filed under: Podocarpus milanjianus
Lineage: Eukaryota; Viridiplantae; Streptophyta; Pinopsida; Araucariales; Podocarpaceae
Description: tRNA-Asn
Source: RNAcentral
UCCUCAAUGGUUCAUGUACUCUUCAUUCAUAGGUGUCUUUGAAAGACAAGAGUAUUCCUAUAUUAGAAUUCACUCCCCGUAG